RNAcentral lists this microRNA precursor (122 nucleotides) under Paramuricea clavata. The record is from RNAcentral. Lineage: Eukaryota; Metazoa; Cnidaria; Anthozoa; Malacalcyonacea; Plexauridae.
UCAAAACGGAAAAGUCGAAUACGAGCGCGAAAGGCUUGCUGGGAAUCGCUAAAAUAUUUAUUAAUUUUUUAGCGAUUCCCAGCAAGCCUUUCACGCUCGUAUUCGACUUUUCCUCUUUGCUC